This 253-nucleotide ribosomal RNA is filed under the name uncultured bacterium. Its description in RNAcentral is "partial 16S ribosomal RNA". It matches the Rfam family "Bacterial small subunit ribosomal RNA", at positions 524 to 776 of the family's 1533-position model. The record is from RNAcentral.
UACGGAGGGAGCUAGCGUUAUUCGGAAUUACUGGGCGUAAAGCGCACGUAGGCGGCUUUGUAAGUUAGAGGUGAAAGCCCGGGGCUCAACUCCGGAAUUGCCUUUAAGACUGCAUCGCUAGAAUCCGGGAGAGGUGAGUGGAAUUCCGAGUGUAGAGGUGAAAUUCGUAGAUAUUCGGAAGAACACCAGUGGCGAAGGCGGCUCACUGGACCGGUAUUGACGCUGAGGUGCGAAAGCGUGGGGAGCAAACAGG